This 253-nucleotide ribosomal RNA is filed under the name uncultured bacterium. Its description in RNAcentral is "partial 16S ribosomal RNA". It matches the Rfam family "Bacterial small subunit ribosomal RNA", at positions 524 to 776 of the family's 1533-position model. The record is from RNAcentral.
UACGUAGGGUGCAAGCGUUAAUCGGAAUUACUGGGCGUAAAGCGUGCGCAGGCGGUGAUGUAAGACAGGUGUGAAAUCCCCGGGCUUAACCUGGGAACUGCAUUUGUGACUGCAUCGCUGGAGUGCGGCAGAGGGGGAUGGAAUUCCGCGUGUAGCAGUGAAAUGCGUAGAUAUGUGGAGGAAUACCGAUGGCGAAGGCAGCCCCCCGGGAUAACACUGACGCUCAUGCACGAAAGCGUGGGGAGCAAACAGG